UACGUAGGGACCAAGCGUUGUUCGGAUUUACUGGGCGUAAAGGGCGCGUAGGCGGCUUAACAAGUCACUUGUGAAAUCUCCGGGCUUAACUCGGAACGGCCAAGUGAAACUGUCAAGCUAGAGUGCAGAAGGGGCAACUGGAAUUCUCGGUGUAGCGGUGAAAUGCGUAGAUAUCGAGAGGAACACCUGCGGCGAAGGCGGGUUGCUGGGCUGAUACUGACGCUGAGGCGCGAAAGCGUGGGGAGCAAACAGG
This 253-nucleotide ribosomal RNA is filed under the name uncultured bacterium. RNAcentral describes it as "partial 16S ribosomal RNA". It matches the Rfam family "Bacterial small subunit ribosomal RNA", at positions 524 to 776 of the family's 1533-position model. The record is from RNAcentral.